This 406-nucleotide ribosomal RNA is filed under the name uncultured bacterium. RNAcentral describes it as "partial 16S ribosomal RNA". It matches the Rfam family "Bacterial small subunit ribosomal RNA", at positions 30 to 526 of the family's 1533-position model. The record is from RNAcentral.
AUUGAACGCUGGCGGCAGGACUAACACAUGCAAGUCGAACGAGUGGCAGACAGGUGAGUAAUGUCUGGGAAACUGCCAUAUGGAGGGGGAUAACUACUGGAAACGGUAGCUAAUACCGCAUACAAUCAGAUGUGCCCAGAUGGGAUUAGCUUGUUGGUGGGGUAACGGCGCACCAAGGCGACGGUCCCUAGCUGGUCUGAGAGGAUGACCAGCCACACUGGAACUGUGACACGGUCCAGCCUCCUACGUGAGGCAGCAGUUGUGAAUAUUGCAAAAUGGGCGAAAGCCUGAUGCAGCCAUGCCGCGUGGAUGAAGAAGGCCUUCGGGUUUUAAAGUACUUGCAGCGGUGAGGCGUUACCCGCAGAAUAAGCACCGGCUAACUCCGUGCCAGCAGCCUCGGUAAUAC